Apis florea (little honeybee) is the source of this 541-nucleotide long non-coding RNA. RefSeq lists it as uncharacterized. NCBI's taxonomy places the organism in Eukaryota, Metazoa, Arthropoda, Insecta, Hymenoptera, Apidae. The record is from RefSeq and is a predicted model, not a curated record.
UACUUUUCUUAUCUUACACUAAUUUCAUUUGCGAUACAGCAAAGAUGGCGUUGAUUUUUAUUUUACUUUUGUCCUCUUACUAUUACUUUUUUUCCGUCUGUAUUUAUUCAAUAAUUGUAACAAUAGAAAUACUUGUUGCCACUUAUAAGUUAAAAAAUGAAAAAGAUAUAAGAUUUUUUCUUUGUAAUAAAAAAAAAUAACGAUUUGUAUAUUUAUAUACAUAUAUAUAUAUAUAAAUUUCUGUAUUUAUUUAUGUCACAUAUAUAACAAAUAUAUUAACACUAGUUAAAAUAUGCUGAAAUUAUUAUUACGACGAUAUCUACCAAAAAAAGAAAAUUAUCCAAAAAUUCACCAUUAUUUGGCUGGGAUAUAUGCAUUUACUGCAUGGACUACUACUAUAUACGUGUUUUGUAUAUUAUUAAAAGAAUCUUUACCUACAACUCCAAAACAAAGGCAAACAUUUAUAGAAAAUUUAGAAAAAGAAAAUAAGAAAAUACAACAUAUAAAAAUUAAUGGAUUUAGGAUAAAUUCUGAUGAAUAA